UACGUAGGUGGCGAGCGUUGUCCGGAUUUACUGGGCGUAAAGAGCGCGCAGGCGGCUGGUCAAGUCCGAUGUGAAAGCUCCCGGCUUAACUGGGAAAUUGCAUCGGAAACUGAUCGGCUGGAAGGUGGGAGAGGGUAGCGGAAUUCCAGGUGUAGCGGUGAAAUGCGUAGAUAUCUGGAGGAACACCGGUGGCGAAGGCGGCAUCCUGGACCGGCAUUGACGCUGAGGCGCGAAAGCCAGGGGAGCAAACGGG
RNAcentral lists this ribosomal RNA (253 nucleotides) under uncultured bacterium. RNAcentral describes it as "partial 16S ribosomal RNA". It matches the Rfam family "Bacterial small subunit ribosomal RNA", at positions 524 to 776 of the family's 1533-position model. The record is from RNAcentral.